Molecule: ribosomal RNA, 514 nt
Filed under: Capparimyia melanaspis
Lineage: Eukaryota; Metazoa; Arthropoda; Insecta; Diptera; Tephritidae
Description: partial 16S ribosomal RNA
Rfam family: Bacterial large subunit ribosomal RNA (bases 390-514)
Source: RNAcentral
GUCUUUUUGAGUUAUUUUUAAAGUCUGACCUGCCCACUGAUAAUAAAUUAAAUGGCCGCAGUAUUCUAACUGUGCAAAGGUAGCAUAAUCAUUAGUCUUUUAAUUGAAGGCUGGAAUGAACGGUUGGACGAGGUAUAAGCUGUUUCAUAAAAAUUUAUAUUAGAAUUUUAUUUUUUAGUCAAAAAGCUAAAAUUUAUAUAAAAGACGAGAAGACCCUAUAAAUCUUUAUAUUUGUUUUUAUUUAAAUUUUUUUGAUUUAGUUUAUUUUUAUAGAAUAAAAUAUUUUGUUGGGGUGAUAUUAAAAUUUAAUUAACUUUUAAUUAUAAAAAAUCAUUAAUUUAUGAAUUGUUGAUCCUUUAUUAUUGAUUAUAAGAUUAAGUUACUUUAGGGAUAACAGCGUAAUUUUUUUUGAGAGUUCUUAUCGAUAAAAAAGUUUGCGACCUCGAUGUUGGAUUAAGAUAUAUUUUUAGGUGUAGUCGCUUAAAUAUUAAGUCUGUUCGACUUUUAAAUUCUU